GCACCGUAAAUGGUCUCCAUAGGCAAGUCCAUAGGUCUUGUUCUCGUAAAGUGGAAGUUGAAAAAAGCAGACGCACGUCCCCCUUAGAGAAGCGCAAGGCGCGCAAGUACGACAAGAUGUGUCCGGCACCUUUAUUGGAGGAGACGGACGAGGAAUUCACAAUUCAAUGCUUGAUGGUAUUGAGGAGCCUGCGACCAACGCAGACAUCUUUUAGGAAGAACACCAAAUGCUCUUGAAUGGAGUUAACGACCUGUUGGAUUUUACGCAAUUGUACGAAGCAGCUGCGUCAGAGCCUAGGGUACCAUGAUGCAGCAGAAUUCAAUUUGAAGUAUACCUGGCUCAGUGAGGAUUAGAUUCCAAGUUGCAUGACAGAAUGCCCCUGGCUCCUCAUCUCCAGAUUCAUCAUGCGCCGCCGUCCCUUCCCUCCAACAGCUAUCAAGCUCCAGUUUCGUUAGAAAUACGACUGUUCAUCCCAGAUUCCCUGAUCAAUCUUGCCCCAGAAUUCUAUCUCUUCCCCGACUUUGUCGGAAAAUCAGCAAAAGCUCGAGACCGCUUCGACUAUCGAACCAAGAGGUUGCAACUGGUCUCCACGAUCGCACACUGGUCGGAUCCUCAAUAGCAAUCUGUUCCUUUUGCGGUUCCGACUCACUACCUCGUUUCGCUUCACGAGACUCGACAUAUCUUUUAUGUUUCAGUAUUUGAUAGGCUCGCUAAUUUGAACCCGCUAAAUCUAAAUAACCAAUAUGAUAAGGCAUAUUUCACUGACAAAAGAGGAUGCUGACUGCUUAGUGCUCAAGGCAUGACAAUCUCGGCAAGUCGUAGCGUUGAGCUUGACGGCCAAUAGCGCCAUUUGCCAAUGUAUCCCACUUCUUGGAAAUUACUGUUUAAAGUCAAGCUUAUAUCAUUUUUAUCUCUAAUAACAGAACAUCGCUCCCAUCGCGAGCGCUUGUUGCCAGCAUCGUCUUCGUCAAAAGUCACACCUUCUUUCCCUUUCAGCGUCAUUGUUCAUUCGUUACUCGACUCACUACUACCCGCAUGCUCGGCCAUCGCCGAGAUCUACCUCGUUUUUUGCCCGAUUGGGACUCCAGCACACCACCACAUCAUGCCCAGCCUCCUCAUUCUCGCACAUGGCGGUGCCCGGACUACGGAAACGGAGUUAGAUGAGCCAAAAGCCUGGGAAAAUGACGGCCUUCGCCGUCUGUCACGCGCCUUACUUUGAUGCCUUCGCGCGUGAGAAAUCACACCAACCCUUUCCACUUUCGAGCUCUUUCUUGCUUAAUUCUUCGUACCUUCAAAAGUACGGAUUGUGAAAUGUAUACGGUACAACAGGCGAAUAACCACAGACGAGAGGAUUCUGUAGACACCCAUCAUGAGGGGGUCUGGAGGAAUGGCUGACGAUAUAGAGAGCGAU
RNAcentral lists this small RNA (1411 nucleotides) under Cryptococcus neoformans H99. Its description in RNAcentral is "Cryptococcus neoformans var. grubii H99 hypothetical RNA". The record is from RNAcentral. Lineage: Eukaryota; Fungi; Basidiomycota; Tremellomycetes; Tremellales; Cryptococcaceae.